This is an unclassified non-coding RNA of Pongo abelii (Sumatran orangutan), 117 nucleotides long. It matches the Rfam family "Metazoan signal recognition particle RNA". From Rfam's summary of the family: The signal recognition particle (SRP) is a universally conserved ribonucleoprotein. It is involved in the co-translational targeting of proteins to membranes. The record is from Ensembl. Lineage: Eukaryota; Metazoa; Chordata; Mammalia; Primates; Hominidae.
GCUGGGUGCGGUGGCCCACACCUGUAAUCCCAGCACUUUGGGAGGCCGAGGCGGGCGGAUCACCUGAGGUCAGGAGUUUGAGACCAGCCUGACCAACAUGGAGAAACCCCGUCUCUA